Molecule: ribosomal RNA, 253 nt
Filed under: uncultured bacterium
Lineage: Bacteria
Description: partial 16S ribosomal RNA
Rfam family: Bacterial small subunit ribosomal RNA
Source: RNAcentral
GACAGAGGGUGCAAACGUUGCUCGGAAUUACUGGGCGUAAAGCGCGUGUAGGUGGAUUGGUGUGUCAGAUGUGAAAGCCCUGGGCUCAACCCAGGAACUGCACCUGAAACUACCAGUCUUGAGUGGUGGAGAGGGAAGUGGAAUUCCUGGUGUAGCGGUGAAAUGCGUAGAUAUCCGGAGGAACACCGGUGGCGAAGGCGGCUUCCUGGACCGACACUGACGCUGAGGCGCGAAAGCUAGGGGAGCAAACGGG